RNAcentral lists this unclassified non-coding RNA (286 nucleotides) under Dothideomycetes sp. Its description in RNAcentral is "partial contains 5.8S ribosomal RNA, internal transcribed spacer 2, and large subunit ribosomal RNA". The stretch from base 1 to 71 matches the Rfam family "5.8S ribosomal RNA", at positions 84 to 154 of the family's 154-position model. Lineage: Eukaryota; Fungi; Ascomycota; Dothideomycetes. The record is from RNAcentral.
GUGAGUCAUCGAAUCUUUGAACGCACAUUGCGCCCCUUGGUAUUCCAUGGGGCAUGCCUGUUCGAGCGUCAUCUACACCCUCAAGCUCUGCUUGGUGUUGGGCGUCUGUCCCGCCUUCGUGCGCGGACUCGCCCCAAAUUCAUUGGCAGCGGUCCUUGCCUCCUCUCGCGCAGCACAUUGCGCUUCUCGAGGUGCGCGGCCCGCGUCCACGAAGCAACAUUACCGUCUUUGACCUCGGAUCAGGUAGGGAUACCCGCUGAACUUAAGCAUAUCAAUAAGCGGAGGA